This 65-nucleotide transfer RNA is filed under the name Nephrotoma quadrifaria. RNAcentral describes it as "tRNA-Thr". It matches the Rfam family "tRNA". Rfam says of the family: Transfer RNA (tRNA) molecules are approximately 80 nucleotides in length. Their secondary structure includes four short double-helical elements and three loops (D, anti-codon, and T loops). Further hydrogen bonds mediate the characteristic L-shaped molecular structure. tRNAs have two regions of fundamental functional importance: the anti-codon, which is responsible for specific mRNA codon recognition, and the 3' end, to which the tRNAs corresponding amino acid is attached (by aminoacyl-tRNA synthetases). tRNAs cope with the degeneracy of the genetic code in two manners: having more than one tRNA (with a specific anti-codon) for a particular amino acid; and 'wobble' base-pairing, i.e. permitting non-standard base-pairing at the 3rd anti-codon position. Lineage: Eukaryota; Metazoa; Arthropoda; Insecta; Diptera; Tipulidae. The record is from RNAcentral.
GUUUUAAUAGUUUAAUAAAAACAUUGGUCUUGUAAAUCAAAAAUAAAGACAUUCUUUUUAAAACA